AAGUGGAGCAAUCCAUGAGUAAAGCGGCGCACGGGUGAGUAACACGUGACUAACCUACCUUCGAGUGUGGAAUAACCUGGGGAAACUCGGGCUAAUACCGCAUAACACCUACGGGUCAAAGGAGCAAUCCGCUUGAAGAGGGGGUCGCGGCAGAUUAGUUAGUUGGCGGGGUAAUGGCCCACCAAGACGAUGAUCUGUAUCCGGCCUGAGAGGGCGCACGGACACACUGGAACUGAAACACGGUCCAGACUCCUACGGGAGGCAGCAGUGGGGAAUUUUGCGCAAUGGGGGAAACCCUGACGCAGCAACGCCGCGUGGAGGAUGAAGUCCCUUGGG
This 336-nucleotide ribosomal RNA is filed under the name uncultured bacterium. Its description in RNAcentral is "bacterial SSU rRNA". It matches the Rfam family "Bacterial small subunit ribosomal RNA", at positions 72 to 422 of the family's 1533-position model. The record is from RNAcentral.